Molecule: long non-coding RNA, 6424 nt
Filed under: Sus scrofa (pig)
Lineage: Eukaryota; Metazoa; Chordata; Mammalia; Artiodactyla; Suidae
Description: lncRNA (ENSSSCG00000059081.1)
Source: RNAcentral
UUUUUUUUUUUUUUUUUUUUUUGUCUUUUCUAGGGCCUUACCUCUGGCAUGUGGAGGUUCCAGGCUAGGGGUCUAAUCAGACCUGUAGCCACCAGCCUAUGCCAGAGCCACAGCAAUGCAGGAUCCGAGCCGCGUCUGAAACUACACCACAGCUGACGGUAACACCGGAUCCUUAACCCACUGAGCGAGGCCAGGGAUCAAACCUGAAACCUCAUGGUUCCUAGUCAGAUUCGUUAACCACUGAGCCACGACGGGAACUCCUCCUUAAAUAUUUUUUUAAUUAAAAUUCCUUUGAAAUAGUUUUAUGUACCACUUGAGUACCAUUAUGUAUUUUUUACAUUAGGGCUGAACAAGCUUCUGAAUAUAAAAUCAAACUGGGAUUUGCUCCUGAGCAAUAUGAAGGGAGAAACAGAUUUUUUUUUCAUGAUUGUAUCUGGGUUUAUUAGGAAAAUGUACUUGGAAUUAAAACAUUUUUUCAUAAAAACUAAGACAAGGUGCCCAAUUUUACUGAAUAAGGUAGAAUGUGAGACAAAGCCCAAACUUCUUGGUCUGGCUCCUGGGUCUGGAUCUAGUGACCAAGUUCAGCUUACUGUUCCAGUCUGUCUUUCCCUGUCUCUCCAAUCAUAUUCUCCAAUCUACUCAGACACAUCUGUUUACAUUUCCCCAAACUCAUGUGCUCUCCAGCCCAUUCUCUUAACCCUCACAGUUCAUUGAAUUUCUUCUCCAACCCCAGGAUUUGACAUUCAGAUAAAAUCCUACCAUCCUCUGAGAAAUAUUAUCAUUUUUCACCAGAUCCCAUUUGGAAAUUAUUCCCCCACCCAUGCUUCUUUUUUUAAUUAAUGGUUAUCAAGUGAUUACUCCAGGCCAGUCACCGUGCUAAGUGCUUUAUAGGCCUUAUCAUAACACCCCUAUGAGUAACCUUAAUAGUAGUAGUAGUGCCAUUUUACAGCUAGAAAAACAGAUUUUGAAGGGCAAAUGGAUUUUCUCAAGAUCAUGUAACAAGGAAGUGACAGAACCAGGACCUCAACCUAUUUCCAACUGAUAAUUUUGAGUGAGACAGUGGCACAAGGGAAGGGAGCAAGGCGAAAAUGGGACGGGGUGGGGGAAGAAUCCUAACAACAAUCCUUAUGGACCUAGGAUGGGUUAGGUUGUAGUACAAUUACAAACCCUGCCUUGAUCUCAGUAGCUUAAUGGAAAGUGUUCUAUUUCUCAUGCUAUGUGCGCACUGCAGGCCAGCAGGGGGCUCUGUUACCACUCAGGGCUUGUAAUGGCAACUCCACCUUGAUAAGGACUUGAGAGAUGACAGCAAGGGGAACACAAAAAGGUGAAUCUUUCACCAGCACUUAAAUGUUCAUCUGGACGUGACUUACACCAUUUCCAUUGACAUUUCAUUGGACAAAACAAGUCCAGUAUGGCCAGGCCUCAUUUCAAGAGGGUGAAAAGUAUAAUGAUCUUUUUGGAAGGAGAAGAACCAGAAUCAAUUGAUGAACCCAAACUACUCUAGUGCCUGGACAGUCUUCAUUGGAGUGUAGAUUCUGAUUCCGCACUGGGAUGGUGAGAGGUGCAGCACAGCAAAGUUUACAGACACAGUCGAGAGACCCAAGUGGAGCUUCCACAUUCUCUUCCCCUCAGGGGUCCCUCAUUCCAGUGGGAAAGACAGAGAAUUCAUGGAGAAGAUGCCUAGAGAAAACACCAUCGUUUAAAAACCCUAUCAUAAAAAAGUAUUUCCUACUCCUCUGAUUAUGGAAACCAAGAGUAGUUAUGUGGCCACAUGUUAUCAUGGGAAACAAACUCCCCUUGUGUUUCUGUCCAGGCUUCUUAGGCACCAGCUUUUAGGCCAUUUUCAUCUCCAAAAAUGUCUAUAUGCAAGACCUCUUAUUCACAAUCCACAGUUCAUAAAAUUUUAUCAAGUGCCAACAUGAAAACCAAUUUACUUGUUUCCCUUUAAGUAUCACUUUGUGGGUCCCCCCCCCCGCCCCAAGGUUUGUGUUAAGAACUUUACUUAGGUUGAUAAGAAAGCUUUCAUUUUCCUAUUUGAUUAAUAAGUGCUUUUUCAAUUAGGUUUCUUCAGAAUUGGAAACAAAGUUAUUUUAGACAAUCUCUGAUGCUUCCUGGAUUGUCAUAAAAGAUGUUAAUGGAUUCAAACCCAUUCUCUUGCUUUCUCCUCUCCUUUUCUCCCCUCGUCUCCUUGCCUCAUGCACCCUCCCUCUCUCUCCCUCUCCCCCACUCCUUAUCCCCCUCUUCCAUCCAUUCCUCCCUAUCUCCUAUAAAAUCGCCAUUUUACCAGCGCCAAAUGCACCGACUCUUGGCCAACUCUUACUUAUUCCCAAGGUCAUCGCCUCAUAUCAUUUCCUUGAGGCAAACCUCCUUGUUCCUUCAUGACAGUUUGUGGCCCUGGAAUGAACUUCAAUCGUAUCAAGUGCUUUCUCUUCAGAGCUGGAAUGAAAAUGUAUUUCUAUGAUUAUUUGUGGAGUUACUUGUUCAGUGUCUUUCCCCCAGUAAAACUGCCAGCUCCACGAACGCAGGUGCCAGGAUUCUCGUGUUCAUUUCUGUGACUGGAGAUCCUAACACAACACCUGAGGCAUGACAGGUGCUCCGGAAGAAUUUGGAUACCUAGUCAGUCAGCAGUGGUUGUACUUUCCCCGCCAUCCUGUGUUGGGGUGACUUGGUGGCUUUUGCGGGGUGCCUUACAGGCUCGCUCGGAUGGGAAUGAACUGACAGCCGAGAACCCCUGUAAAAUGAGAACAGCAGCAACAAAAAUACCUGCUCAGCACCAGCCUGCUUGUAGUGUUGAUGUUUUGUGGGUAGCGGUCAAGUGACGUUUUAGACCAAUAUAAGCUUGUGGCUUCAAAACUCUGCAGUUUAAAAGUAGUAUUGACGGAGUGGUACACGGAGGGGAAAAAGGGAGAAAACCCCAUUUUUUCCUCACCAGUUACGUAAGGUCCUUUUCUGCCUGCCAGCACGUCUGAUAUGAUAGUCUGAAAGCACCAUUUUCUUGGUAAAACAAACACAGACUUCUCUUUAAAAACACCUUUUGAUACUUUAUGAGUAGGGCUGGUGUAUGUAACCAAUCAAGACCAACAUAUGGCUUAUUAUGACAUUUAGCUGAUUAAAAUAGUCUAGACAUAAACUUGAGAUUUCAGAAAUGUUUAAGUUAAGUAAGAAAUACAUUUUAAUGUACAGUAGAUGUGUACUUAGUCCACGGCCACCUGUAUCCCUACAGGAAUUAUAGAGCAGGAAGUACUUUUGACUCAAGAAGUGUGUCUGAAAAUUAAGGUUGUAAAUUAACAACAGCUUGUCUAUUAGAUUAUUUUAGCCAUAAAGGACUCAGUAUGAUUCAAAAUGCUCGUGAUUUUCAAUACAUUUCUGUGGCUCGAUUUAAUAAAGAGUGAUGCUGGGAAUGGCUUUGGCUCGAAGGUCUGCAAAAGCACAUUUUUAGAAAAUCCCAGAGAAUAAAUAGUAGCUGCUAGUUAGGCUGUGGUAAAACACACCUGUGGCUAAUGGAAAAGGAAAAGUUUGAGCCUCCCCUUGGCACUGGCCUCUGAGCUGGCACCAGGGGGAGAGCUGUGGCUUUGUGGGCCGUGCCCAGCCUCGGCCCCAAGGCCUGGAGCACCAAGGCUCUCAUCCUGCCUCCUGUAUCUUGGGAACAGCAGCCAUGCUUUCAGGUUUUGUUUUCCUGGUCUAUAACUUGUAAAGACUGAGGCCUAAUUAACACACAGGGUUAAGAAUUAAUUGGCUAAUGUUUGAGGCCAAGCACUUUGGAGUAUGUUAUGAUUAGUUGUAGGGCCAUCCAGAGGCUGGGUGUGGGUUGCGAUUUUUGAUUAGGUUUUCUAUCAGUGUGACCUCUUCUGUGCAUGGAGGAGGCAGGUGAGGUCAGGGAAAAGCAUGGAGCUGGGGUGGGUCAGGGGAUAUGCUUCUCUGGCUUUUUUUUGAGAAAGAUUGAAGAAGAAAAAGAGAGGCUGAAGGAGGAGGAGGUGGAGGGAGGGAGAGAAGAGAAGUGAAAAGAAGUGAGGAGAGAGAGAGAGACAGAGUGAAUACUUCUGAGGUCUCAUGGAGGGCCCAGCUCCCAGGUGGUCUCUGAGUUUGGGAAAUACUGGAAUUGACUGAGACAGGACCAGGGUAGAACAGAACCUGUGGUAUUAGGCUUUUCUCCUGCAGCCAAACUAUUGAGCUGGCAGGAAGACAUGGAGCUCGUGGUGACCUGAAGCCCAUUCCCUGUACUUGUUUGCCAAGGUAUUAAUUCUGUCCAUGCCUGUGAACUCUGCUAACCUCUCCCUUUCCGGAGCUUUCUGUGGCCAGGACACUGGCCUAGUGGCCAGGAGAACAAGAUCCUUCUCCUAGUUUGUGAGUUACCAUGUGACACACAGUGGCAUUCCAUUCUCCAUACUGGUCUCCUCCUUUGAGACACAAGGAGGAGUGGAUGAGCUGGGAGGUGUAUCAGUUAGCUUUUGCUGCGUGACAAACCACCCUGAAACUUUGUGGCUUCCAACAGCAAACAUUUAUUUAGCUCACAAUGCUGUGGGUUGGCAUUUGGGAUUGGACUCCUCCAGGUGGUUUUGCGGGUUGAGACUGGGCUUUGCUGACCUCAGCUGGGCUUGCUCAUGUGUCUGCGGUCAGCUGGUGGGGCAGCUGGGGUCAGCUGGCUUGUGAUGGCUGCGUCUGGACCAUGGGAUGACUGGAGCCUUUCUUCCCCAGCUUGCUCAUCCUCCAGCAAGCUAGCCUGGGCUGAUUCACGUGGUGGUCAAAGGUUCUAAAAAAAAGUGGAAACUGCAAGGUCCCUGGAGGCCUAGGCUCAGAACUGGCACGAUCAAGUCACAUACCAGCCCAGACCGGAGGAGGAGAAAUACACUAUGCUUCUCGAUGGGCACAGCUGUGGUGUGCUGGGGCCAAUAUUUUCUUCAAGCUACCACAUCAAGACGAUGAAUAGAAAUUAGGACUAAUAGGAGAACAGCCUCUGUUUUUUUGAGUUCGUCUUUAAGAGUUUGAGGUUGCAAGUCCUGGCUGGUGUUGUGAAUUCAUUAUGUGACUUUAAAUAAGUUUUUCAAACUUUUUGUUGAUUUUAACCACUGUACUAGGCUUCUUUUGCUUAUACAUUAAUAGGAAAUAAUACCAAGUAUUUAAUGAAGAUUUUACAGAGAGAUGUGCCUCUCCACAUGGCCUGUCAAAUCAAUGGACAUUCAGUAAAUAACUACUGAACACACAAAAUCAAUACAUUUAUUAAUACCUUCUUAGGUCUUUUAAACAUUUUCUGCAACACAAAAUUUUACAUAUUGUAGAAAUUUAGAAAAAGAAUAGAAAGAGUAAAAAAUAGAAGUCAUCAUUUACUCCAUCACCAGUGGUAAUAAUGUAGAAUUGUUAAUUUUUGGUUGUAGUUCCUUUAAGAUUUUAUUUUCUGUGUAUGUGUGGGUGUGUCUGCUGCCAUCCUGGCUUUGUACUGUGAUGCCGUUUUUACGUUAUUUUAUUUUUUGUCUUUUUUUGUCUUUAGAGGGCCACACCUGCAGUAUAUAGAGGUUCCCAGGCUAGGGGUCUAAUUUGGAGCCACAGCUGCCGGCCCAUGCCACAGCUGCAGCAACGCCAGAUCCAAGCUGUGUGUGCAGCCUCCACCACAGCUUACGGCAACAUCGAUCGUCAACCCACUGAGUGAGGCCAGGGAUCAAAGCCACAACCUCAUGGUUCCUAGUCAGAUUUGUUUCGGCUGCACCAUGAUGGGAACACCCUGAUGCUGUUUUUAUAAUCUGCUCUUUCACUUUGAUAAAUACACAUUUACUGCCCCUUUUUUGAUGACUGCACAUUUAUUCUAGUGCAUGUGUAUUCCACAAUUUACCGAACCUAUCCCCUGUUGCUGGGCAUUUAAAUAUUUUCUGGCUUUUAAACAUUAUUUUUGAAAACAUUAUAUAAACACUUUAGUGCUAAAUUCUUUGGAAACCCUUGUGAUGUAUAAGAAAUAUUUUUGGUCUUUGUCCCUGGUUCCUGGAACAGAGCUCCCCAAACCCUUGGAACUUCCCGAUGGGAGCCUCUUUCUUCCUUCAUAAGGUGGCCCUUUCGAGCAUACCUGAGUUUAUGCUAAUGAAGUGAGAUAGGGUGGGGACCCUACAUAGCCUCAGAAUGGAGCUGGUUACCAGAAAGACCAAGUAAUUAAAAGGUUGGAACUUUCAGGCCCACUCACUGACCCCUGAAAAGGGAAAGAGCAGGGGUUGCUGAUUUAGCACUAUAAAAACUUUUAAACAAUGAGAUUGGAUGAACAUCUGGAUUAGUGAACAACAUCCACACAUCAGAAGGAUGGCUCACCCUAGUUCCACAGGGAUAGAAACUCCUGUGCUCUGGACCCUUCUGGAUCUCACCCUAUUAUCUUUUCAUAUGGCUGUUUAGUGGUAUGCUUAAUAAUGUCAUUUGUAAGGGGAGUUCCCACCAUGGCUCAGUAGUA